Molecule: ribosomal RNA, 464 nt
Filed under: uncultured bacterium
Lineage: Bacteria
Description: partial 16S ribosomal RNA
Rfam family: Bacterial small subunit ribosomal RNA
Source: RNAcentral
CCUACGGGUGGCAGCAGUAGGGAAUUUUCGGCAAUGGGGGGAACCCUGACCGAGCAACGCCGCGUGAAGGAAGAAGGUCUUCGUUUCGUAAACUUCUGUUAUAAAGGAAGAAAGACGGAGGGAGGAAAUGACCUCCGAUUGAUGUUACCUUAUGAGAAAGUCACGGCUAACUACGUGCCAGCAGCCGCGGUAAUACGUAGGUGGCAAGCGUUAUCCGGAAUUAGUGGGCGUAAAGUGGGCGUAGGCGGCAGGAAAGGUCUGGGGUGAAAGGUAGAAGCUUAACUUCAGUAAGCCAUAGAAACCGGGGGGCUAGAGUGCAGGAGAGGGAGGUGGAAUUCCAUGUGUAGCGGUAAAAUGCGUAGAUAUAUGGAAGAACACCAGUGGCGAAGGCGGCGGGCUGGCCUGUAACUGACGCUCAGUCCCGAAAGCGUGGGGAGCAAAUAGGAUUAGAUACCCGAGUAGUC